This is a long non-coding RNA of Hibiscus syriacus, 570 nucleotides long. RefSeq lists it as uncharacterized. NCBI's taxonomy places the organism in Eukaryota, Viridiplantae, Streptophyta, Magnoliopsida, Malvales, Malvaceae. The transcript is spliced from 2 exons. The record is from RefSeq and is a predicted model, not a curated record.
UUUUGUCUCAUAAUAUGGAUAUGAUUGUGGAAAAUAUAGCUAGAUUGCCUAAUCCAGAGACAUCGACUAAUAUACAAAAUCAAGAUGGUUCGACCAUCUCGUUGACUCACCCAAGGCCCAUUACAAAACAACAAGCCCGUUUACAAAGUAAAAUCAUUAGCCAAAACACAAGUGGAGAUCUGCGACUUGGAUCCACUGGAGUCACUGACCCGAACAAACCCCAAGGUAACCUAAAUCAACUAAGAUUUAAAACCCUAUCUUCUCACUUCUCUCCAUAAGCGCCGCAACAGCCAUACGCGCAAAAAAAUCCUCCCCAGCCGCAACCAUUCGGUCAACAAGGCCCCCAAUUUUCUCAGCGACGUGUACUCGUGGGACACAACAACAACCAACAAACAAGAGUUACAGUUCACAUAAGACUCAAAAAAAUCGGAAUUAAAAAUAGGUUUUUUAGACUAUAAAUAAGCAUGUAAAUCAGAAAGAAGAGGAGACAAGAAAUCACAAAAGAAAAUAGGCAAGAACUUGUAAUUUACGAAUGAAAGAGCAAUAAGAGAAGGUAUUUUUUUACCUUGA